RNAcentral lists this ribosomal RNA (253 nucleotides) under uncultured bacterium. RNAcentral's name for it is "partial 16S ribosomal RNA". It matches the Rfam family "Bacterial small subunit ribosomal RNA", at positions 524 to 776 of the family's 1533-position model. The record is from RNAcentral.
UACGGAAGGGGCUAGCGUUGUUCGGAAUUACUGGGCGUAAAGCGCGCGAAGGCGGCUUAUCAAGUUAGGUGUGAAAGCCCUGGGCUCAACCCGGGAACUGCACUUAAGACUGGUGGGCUAGGGUCCGGGAGAGGGUGGUGGAAUUCCCAGUGUAGAGGUGAAAUUCGUAGAUAUUGGGAGGAACACCGGUGGCGAAAGCGGCCCCCUGGCCCGGUACCGACGCUCAAGUGCGAAAGCGUGGGGAGCCAACAGG